UACGAAGGGAGCUAGCGUUGUUCGGAAUCACUGGGCGUAAAGCGCACGUAGGCGGAUGUGUCGGUCAGGGGUGAAAUCCCGGAGCUCAACUUCGGAACUGCCUUUGAUACAGCACGUCUUGAGUCCGAUAGAGGUGGGUGGAAUUCCUAGUGUAGAGGUGAAAUUCGUAGAUAUUAGGAAGAACACCGGUGGCGAAGGCGGCCCACUGGAUCGGUACUGACGCUGAGGUGCGAAAGCGUGGGGAGCGAACAGG
RNAcentral lists this ribosomal RNA (253 nucleotides) under uncultured bacterium. Its description in RNAcentral is "partial 16S ribosomal RNA". It matches the Rfam family "Bacterial small subunit ribosomal RNA", at positions 524 to 776 of the family's 1533-position model. The record is from RNAcentral.